RNAcentral lists this ribosomal RNA (460 nucleotides) under uncultured bacterium. Its description in RNAcentral is "partial 16S ribosomal RNA". It matches the Rfam family "Bacterial small subunit ribosomal RNA", at positions 338 to 795 of the family's 1533-position model. The record is from RNAcentral.
CCUACGGGAGGCAGCAGUGAGGAAUAUUGGUCAAUGGACGAGAGUCUGAACCAGCCAAGUAGCGUGAAGGAUGACUGCCCUCUGGGUUGUAAACUUCUUUUAUAUGGGAAUAAAAUGUUCCACGUGUGGGAUUUUGUAUGUACCAUAUGAAUAAGGAUCGGCUAACUCCGUGCCAGCAGCCGCGGUAAUACGGAGGAUCCGAGCGUUAUCCGGAUUUAUUGGGUUUAACGGGAGCGUAGGUGGAUUGUUAAGUCAGUUGUGAAAGUUUGCGGCUCAACCGUAAAAUUGCAGUUGAAACUGGCAGUCUUGAGUACAGUAGAGGUGGGCGGAAUUCGUGGUGUAGCGGUGAAAUGCUUAGAUAUCACGAAGAACUCCGAUUGCGAAGGCAGUUCACUGGACUGCAACCGACACUGAGGCUCGAAAGUGUGGGUAUCAAACAGGAUUAGAUACCCGGGUAGUC